UGUGGUGAACUCGUGGAGCUGAUGCAACCAGCAUGACGGCAAACCCUGCCAGGUUGGAGGAGCUAUGCACUCCUACUGCUGGAUCCAUAUCUUGGAUCCAAGUCUUAUCUAACAAGACUAUGAGCCGGAGUCAGGAGGAUCCAUGUGCAGUACUUUAUUCAGGACACAUGGAGAGGUCUUGCGGUACUAUGGAUUUCCUGAGAAACAUUGUGUUGGACUUGGGUCCUCUAUUCACGUUCCAAGUAUGGAGAGCAAUGUGCGAAGGCCUGAGCAUCACCAUCAGCCUAACGUCAGGUCAAAACCUAGAGUCCAACGGCCAAGCGGAACGUCUGAAUCAGGAGGUCAAAAAAAAAUUAGUCAAAUUCAAUUGUUCUUGGAAUCGAGGACAGACGAGGUGAUUAACAUGACAUGUUUGUCAUGACGGAAGAAAGAAGGUGGGGCAGAUCAAAAGAUGGAGUGGGACUUUCAGUGCUUGAUUUUCAGUUCAGCCUCAUCAGGUUAUCUGCUUUUGUCACCUCUUUUGUUGCUCUUUUUGUACAUGGUUUAGUCACAAUUUAAAUUUAAUUAUCAAAGUUUUAAGCUCAGUUUUUUAUCCCAGUCUUAUUUAUUUUCGGAUCCAUCCAUCUAUCCAUUUUUUGACCU
Long non-coding RNA from Oryzias latipes (Japanese medaka), 642 nucleotides. RefSeq lists it as uncharacterized. The record is from RefSeq and is a predicted model, not a curated record. NCBI's taxonomy places the organism in Eukaryota, Metazoa, Chordata, Actinopteri, Beloniformes, Adrianichthyidae.